Molecule: ribosomal RNA, 493 nt
Filed under: Escherichia coli
Lineage: Bacteria; Pseudomonadati; Pseudomonadota; Gammaproteobacteria; Enterobacterales; Enterobacteriaceae
Description: bacterial SSU rRNA
Rfam family: Bacterial small subunit ribosomal RNA
Source: RNAcentral
GAGUAUGUCUGGGAACUGCCUGAUGGAGGGGGAUAACUACUGGAAACGGUAGCUAAUACCGCAUAACGUCGCAAGACCAAAGAGGGGGACCUUCGGGCCUCUUGCCAUCGGAUGUGCCCAGAUGGGAUUAGCUAGUAGGUGGGGUAACGGCUCACCUAGGCGACGAUCCCUAGCUGGUCUGAGAGGAUGACCAGCCACACUGGAACUGAGACACGGUCCAGACUCCUACGGGAGGCAGCAGUGGGGAAUAUUGCACAAUGGGCGCAAGCCUGAUGCAGCCAUGCCGCGUGUAUGAAGAAGGCCUUCGGGUUGUAAAGUACUUUCAGCGGGGAGGAAGGGAGUAAAGUUAAUACCUUUACUCAUUGACGUUACCCGCAGAAGAAGCACCGGCUAACUCCGUGCCAGCAGCCGCGGUAAUACGGAGGGUGCAAGCGUUAAUCGGAAUUACUGGGCGUAAAGCGCACGCAGGCGGUUUGUUAAGUCAGAUGUGAAA